Molecule: transfer RNA, 73 nt
Filed under: Planoprotostelium fungivorum
Lineage: Eukaryota; Evosea; Variosea; Cavosteliida; Cavosteliaceae
Rfam family: tRNA
About the family: Transfer RNA (tRNA) molecules are approximately 80 nucleotides in length. Their secondary structure includes four short double-helical elements and three loops (D, anti-codon, and T loops).
Source: Rfam by way of RNAcentral
GGGGGCAUAGCUCAUAUGGUAGAGCACUCGCUUUGCAUGCGAGGGGUAGGGGGAUCGAUACCCCCUGUCUCCA